CGAAGAAUCAUCACACUUGACAAAGACCAUUUGACCACAAGAUCCACAAUAAUUAGGUGCUGCUGCAAUUGUAACAGACACGCACACAUAGAGAGAAGCAGAGAGAGAGAGAGUAACACAUGGAUAGAGAGUAGCAGCAGCCUACACUUAGAGAAAGAAGCUACAUUAGUUACUAAAGAGAGCAGCAACAGCGCCGCACUAGUUUAUAGAAGGAAUGCGGGAGCACUAGUUUAUAGAAGGAACGAUCCACAAUAUCCGCGCUCAAGAAGCAACAACAACAUGUUAGGUAUUAGAAGUGGGCUAUUCACCAGCCGGAAGACGGGCAGGUAACACAGAGCAAAAGAGCAGCAAUCCGGAUGAGCCAAGAACAUGAAGAGAAGCAGAGAGAACGACUGAGUUUCUCUCCUCACCUACAGGGGGAAAACUUCUCUUCAGAAUGCAAUUGUAUUCAGAAGAGAAAUCUACAGAGACAAUUUUUGCAGGAAAUUUUCAUGCAAAUUCAAAGGAGUUCAAAUCCUCAUGCGAAACAAGUUCAACGUAGAGAGGAAGGGCAAUAACUGACGUUGAAGAGGAGCACGUGGUUCGAGUGGAG
This 592-nucleotide long non-coding RNA is filed under the name Triticum aestivum (bread wheat). RNAcentral describes it as "long non-coding RNA (TAES_LNC016293)". Lineage: Eukaryota; Viridiplantae; Streptophyta; Magnoliopsida; Poales; Poaceae. The record is from RNAcentral.